Molecule: ribosomal RNA, 119 nt
Filed under: Pteropus alecto (black flying fox)
Lineage: Eukaryota; Metazoa; Chordata; Mammalia; Chiroptera; Pteropodidae
Source: RNAcentral
GUCUAUGGCCACGCUACCAUGAACAAGCCCGAUCCCAUCUGAUCUCGGAAACUAAGCAGGGUUGGGCCUGGUUAGUACUUGGAUGGGAGACCACCUAGGAAGAUCAGGUGCUGUAGGUA